GAUGAACGCUGGCGGCGUGCCUAAUACAUGCAAGUCGAGCGAACAGACGAGGAGCUUGCUCCUCUGACGUUAGCGGCGGACGGGUGAGUAACACGUGGAUAACCUACCUAUAAGACUGGGAUAACUUCGGGAAACCGGAGCUAAUACCGGAUAAUAUAUUGAACCGCAUGGUUCAAUAGUGAAAGACGGUUUUGCUGUCACUUAUAGAUGGAUCCGCGCCGCAUUAGCUAGUUGGUAAGGUAACGGCUUACCAAGGCAACGAUGCGUAGCCGACCUGAGAGGGUGAUCGGCCACACUGGAACUGAGACACGGUCCAGACUCCUACGGGAGGCAGCAGUAGGGAAUCUUCCGCAAUGGGCGAAAGCCUGACGGAGCAACGCCGCGUGAGUGAUGAAGGUCUUCGGAUCGUAAAACUCUGUUAUUAGGGAAGAACAAAUGUGUAAGUAACUAUGCACGUCUUGACGGUACCUUAUCAGAAAGCCACGGCUAACUACGUG
Molecule: ribosomal RNA, 497 nt
Filed under: uncultured bacterium
Lineage: Bacteria
Description: partial 16S ribosomal RNA
Rfam family: Bacterial small subunit ribosomal RNA
Source: RNAcentral